GAGAAACGGCUCAGUAGUAAGAGCUCUGGCUCUUCUACCAGAGAACCUGGGUUCAAUUCCCAGUACUCA
RNAcentral lists this transfer RNA (69 nucleotides) under Rattus norvegicus (Norway rat). It matches the Rfam family "tRNA". From Rfam's summary of the family: Transfer RNA (tRNA) molecules are approximately 80 nucleotides in length. Their secondary structure includes four short double-helical elements and three loops (D, anti-codon, and T loops). Further hydrogen bonds mediate the characteristic L-shaped molecular structure. tRNAs have two regions of fundamental functional importance: the anti-codon, which is responsible for specific mRNA codon recognition, and the 3' end, to which the tRNAs corresponding amino acid is attached (by aminoacyl-tRNA synthetases). tRNAs cope with the degeneracy of the genetic code in two manners: having more than one tRNA (with a specific anti-codon) for a particular amino acid; and 'wobble' base-pairing, i.e. permitting non-standard base-pairing at the 3rd anti-codon position. The record is from Rfam by way of RNAcentral. Lineage: Eukaryota; Metazoa; Chordata; Mammalia; Rodentia; Muridae.